GGACAACCGCUGGAAACGGCGGCUAAUACCGGAUACUCCGGGAGGGCCCCAUGGGCCUGCCGGGAAAGCCGAGACGGCGCGGGAUGGGGUCGCGGCCCAUUAGGUAGACGGCGGGGUAACGGCCCACCGUGCCCGCGAUGGGUAGCCGGACUGAGAGGUCGACCGGCCACAUUGGGACUGAGAUACGGCCCAGACUCCUACGGGAGGCAGCAGUGGGGAAUUUUGCGCAAUGGGGGAAACCCUGACGCAGCAACGCCGCGUGCGGGACGAAGGCCCUCGGGUUGUAAACCGCUUUCAGCAGGGAAGAUCAAGACGGUACCUGCAGAAGAAGCUCCGGCUAACUACGUGCCAGCAGCCGCGGUAAUACGUAGGGGGCGAGCGUUAUCCGGAUUCAUUGGGCGUAAAGCGCGCGUAGGCGGCCGCCUAAGCGGGACCUCUAACCCCGGGGCUCAACCCCGGGCCGGGUCCCGGACUGGGCGGCUCGAGUGCGGUAGAGGAGAGCGGAAUUCCCGGUGUAGCGGUGGAAUGCGCAGAUAUCGGGAAGAACACCGAUGGCGAAGGCAGCUCUCUGGGCCGUCACUGACGCUGAGGCGCGAAAGCUGGGGGAGCGAACAGGAUUAGAUACCCUGAUAGUCCCAGCUGUAAACG
RNAcentral lists this ribosomal RNA (648 nucleotides) under uncultured bacterium. Its description in RNAcentral is "bacterial SSU rRNA". It matches the Rfam family "Bacterial small subunit ribosomal RNA", at positions 141 to 808 of the family's 1533-position model. The record is from RNAcentral.